Cinara cedri is the source of this 308-nucleotide non-coding RNA. Lineage: Eukaryota; Metazoa; Arthropoda; Insecta; Hemiptera; Aphididae. The record is from the annotation of a GenBank genome assembly.
UUUUAAAUAAGUAGCUACCACGUUUUUUAGCACAAAUAUUUAGUUUAAUCGAUUAUCUACGUAAAACAAUGUCUGAGCAAUUAAUUCGGAAACCUCGUAGGAAAUCCAGGUGGUUAUUUAUUUGUUUUUUUUUUUUUUUUUUGAAAUGUGUUUAAUCACCAUUCGUAAGGAUACUACUAAAUCGACGUACUUAAUUGAUGUUAUGUUAUACGCACAUCGCAUCUCAGUUCAUGAUGUGUACAUAAUAAUAUUACGGAUAACACGCGAAAUCCCUCGGGGACGAUAAAUUCGUUUAUACCACACCAGCA